Molecule: ribosomal RNA, 252 nt
Filed under: uncultured bacterium
Lineage: Bacteria
Description: partial 16S ribosomal RNA
Rfam family: Bacterial small subunit ribosomal RNA
Source: RNAcentral
UACAGAGGUCCCAAGCGUUGUUCGGAUUUACUGGGCGUAAAGGGUGCGUAGGUGGCGGGGUAAGUCUGGUGUGAAAGCUCCGAGCUCAACUCGGAAAAGCAUUGGAAACUAUUCCGCUAGAGGGUCGGAGGGGAGACUGGAAUUCUCGGUGUAGCAGUGAAAUGCGUAGAUAUCGAGAGGAACACCAGUGGCGAAGGCGAGUCCCUGGACGACUCCUGACACUGAGGCACGAAAGCUAGGGGAGCAAACAGG